This 253-nucleotide ribosomal RNA is filed under the name uncultured microorganism. RNAcentral's name for it is "partial small subunit ribosomal RNA". It matches the Rfam family "Bacterial small subunit ribosomal RNA", at positions 524 to 776 of the family's 1533-position model. The record is from RNAcentral.
UACAGAGACGGCAAGCGUUGUUCGGAUUCAUUGGGCGUAAAGGGUGCGCAGGCGGCUCGUUAAGUCGGAUGUGAAAUCUCACAGCCUAACUGUGAUAGGUCAUUCGAAACUAGCGGGCUUGAGGACUGGAGAGGAGACUGGAAUGGUCGGUGUAGCGGUGAAAUGCGUAGAGAUCGACCAGAACACCGGUGGCGAAGGCGAGUCUCUGGACAGUUCCUGACGCUCAGGCACGAAAGCCAGGGGAGCAAACGGG